UUUAAGGUCUAACCUGCCCAAUGAGGAUUUAAAUGGCCGCAGUAUUUUGACUGUGCAAAGGUAGCAUAAUUAUUAGUUUUUUAAUUGAAAGCUUGUAUGAAGGGUUGGACGAGAUAAAAUCUGUCUUUAUUUAAAUUAAAGUAUAAUUUAACUUUUAAGUCAAAAGGCUUAAAUGUUUAUAAAAGACGAGAAGACCCUAUAGAUCUUUAUUUAGUUAAGGCUUUAAUAAUUUAGGAUUAUUUUAAUUUGGAGUUUUAAUUAAAUUUUAUUGGGGUAAUAUAAAGAUUAAAUGAAUUCUUUUUAUUUAUGACAUUAAUUUAUGAAUAUAUGAUCCAUUAAUAUUGAUUAUAAGAUUAAGUUACCUUAGGGAUAACAGCGUAAUUUUUUUGGAGAGCUCAUAUCGAUAAGAAAGUUUGCGACCUCGAUGUUGGAUUAAAAAUUAGCUUGGGUGCAGAAGCUCAAGAUUUUGGUCUGUUCGACCAUUAAAUUUUUACAUGAUCUGAGUUCAGACCGGCGUAAGCCAGGUCGGUUUCUAUCUUUAUUCAGAUAAAAUAUUUUAGUACGAAAGGACCAAGUAUUUAAUAUAUUUAUAUUUAUUUUUUGAAGAAUAUU
This 612-nucleotide ribosomal RNA is filed under the name Cicindela (Rivacindela) sp. JP-68a. RNAcentral's name for it is "partial 16S ribosomal RNA". It matches the Rfam family "Bacterial large subunit ribosomal RNA", at positions 1844 to 2739 of the family's 2925-position model. Lineage: Eukaryota; Metazoa; Arthropoda; Insecta; Coleoptera; Carabidae. RNAcentral also lists the same sequence under 1 other name. The record is from RNAcentral.